This 76-nucleotide transfer RNA is filed under the name Acidithiobacillus caldus. RNAcentral describes it as "tRNA-Phe". It matches the Rfam family "tRNA". Rfam says of the family: Transfer RNA (tRNA) molecules are approximately 80 nucleotides in length. Their secondary structure includes four short double-helical elements and three loops (D, anti-codon, and T loops). RNAcentral also lists the same sequence under 3 other names. The record is from RNAcentral. Lineage: Bacteria; Pseudomonadati; Pseudomonadota; Acidithiobacillia; Acidithiobacillales; Acidithiobacillaceae.
GCCCAGGUAGCUCAGUCGGUAGAGCAGAGGACUGAAAAUCCUCGUGUCGGUGGUUCGAUUCCGCCUCUGGGCACCA